CCUACGUGAGGCAGCAGUGGGGAAUAUUGCGCAAUGGGCGAAAGCCUGACGCAGCGACGCCGCGUGAGGGAUGAAGGUCUUCGGAUCGUAAACCUCUGUCAGCAGGGAAGCACGGUCACUGUGCUAAUCAGCAGUGAAUUGACGGUACCUGCAAAGGAAGCACCGGCUAACUCCGUGCCAGCAGCCGCGGUCAUACGGAGGGUGCGAGCGUUAAUCGGAAUUACUGGGCGUAAAGCGCUCGUAGGCGGUAUGUCAAGUCAAGGGUGAAAUCCCCGCGCUCAACGUGGGAACUGCCUUUGAAACUGGCAAACUGGAGUGUGUGAGAGGAUAGUGGAAUUCCAGGUGUAGGAGUGAAAUCCGUAGAUAUCUGGAGGAACAUCAGUGGCGAAGGCGACUAUCUGGCACAUAACUGACGCUGAGGAGCGAAAGCGUGGGUAGCAAACAGGAUUAGAUACCCCAGUAGUC
RNAcentral lists this ribosomal RNA (465 nucleotides) under uncultured bacterium. RNAcentral describes it as "partial 16S ribosomal RNA". It matches the Rfam family "Bacterial small subunit ribosomal RNA", at positions 338 to 795 of the family's 1533-position model. The record is from RNAcentral.